Long non-coding RNA from Cinclus cinclus, 708 nucleotides. RefSeq lists it as uncharacterized. Lineage: Eukaryota; Metazoa; Chordata; Aves; Passeriformes; Cinclidae. The transcript is spliced from 2 exons. The record is from RefSeq and is a predicted model, not a curated record.
GGUUGGCGGCCCCGUUGAGCGUGAGGUGGAGGAGAACCAUUUGAAUAAGAGCUGUCUGACUUUGCCGUAGCCAAGAGCCCAUCUCGGCUAGCCCCAAUCCUAGAAAGCAUCAUGCAAGACCUACAGCGACGUCACUCCUAGGCUGUGUGUCUGUGAUCUUUGGCGAUGCUAUUUUCCGAGGCAGCUGCCUGGCAUUCGGAGUUGCCAUGGCAUCUCACUGGCCUGAGAACGGAGGAGGUGCCACUCCCCGUAGGUUUUACGAAGGUGUUACCUCGUAGCCCUUCCUCUCGGGGAGGUGCGGAGGGCUGCACACACUGGCUAUUUCCUCCCCCCUUCCCCACCCCUGGGGCUGGUGCCAGAGACAGCGGCGGGGGCGGUGUACAUUGCUGCCAAGGCUCACCUUUCCCCUUCACUGACCAGGGUCCCGCCUGAGCCGUGCCUCCCCUUGCCCCCCUUUGCAGCGGUGCCGUAGCGACAGGACCGAUCUUGUCCUUGUGGUAGGCUCAACCAGGUCCAUCUCUACCUCUUAUGGAUUGUUAUAUAUGCUACUGAAAGUUGGCUCUUUCUUUUUACCUUUUAAGACUAAUAUAUGUUCUUAUCUAGGUUCUGCUCACAUGCUAAUACCAUAAAAAGCUGGGCAUACUCUUUUAACUCUUCAAAAAAUCUGUCUCCGCAUAUUCGGGAUAUUAAACUUGAUAUCAGUUUUCA